AUAAGUUAUUAAGGGCGCAGGGCGGAUGCCUGGGCGCCGGGAACCGAAGAAGGACGCGGCCGGCUGCGAAAAGCCGCGGGGAGCUGCGAGCAAGCGUAGAUCCGCGGAUGUCCGAAUUGGAGAACCUUCCGGAGUGAGCCUCCGGAACACGCGUUUGAAUAUAUAGAACGCAUGUGAGGGAACCCGGGGAACUGAACCAUCUAAGUACCCGGAGGAAGAGUAAGCAACAGCGAUUUCCUUAGUAGCGGCGAGCGAAACGGAAAGAGGCCUAAACCUGAAUCGUGCACAAGCCUGGCGGCGUUGCGGUUCGGGGGUUGAUGGGAGACGUUUUUCUUGCGGUCGCCAGAGCGCAAGGAGUUUGGAGCGAGCUUGAAGUCCGAGUCCCCUGGAACGGGGCGCGAGACGGGGUGACAGCCCCCUGGACGCAAGGGCUUGUCCUGCUUGGACGUCAUAUCCCGAGUACCGCGGAAUCCGAGAAAGUCCGCGGGAAUCAGCGGGGACCUUCCCGCAAGGCAAAAUAUUACCCGGCGACCGACAGUGAAGCAGUACCGUGAGGGAAAGGUGAAAAGCAUGCCGUCGAGGCAAGUGAAAAAGUACCUGAAACCCUGCGCCUACAAGUCAGCUGUAGGGCCAUGCCAUGCUAUAAGCGUGGAAAGCCUGACAGCGUGCCUAUAGAAGAAUGAUCCGACGAGUUGCCGCGGCGCGGCGAGGUUAAGGCCUCAAUGCCGGAGCCGAAGCGAAAGCGAGUCUUAAUAGGGCUAGAGUCGCGCGCGGCAGACCCGAAACCGGGUGAGCUACCCCCGGCCAGGAUGAAGCUCCGGUAACACGGAGUGGAGGUCCGGAUGCCUCAACGCUGAAAAGUUGAGCAAUGAGCCGCGGGUAGGGGUGAAAAGCCAAACGAACCCGGAUAUAGCUGGUUCUCCCCGAAAUAGUUUUAGGACUAGCCUCGGCUGAGAGUCUGACGGAGGUAGAGCACUGAAUGGGCUAGGGGGCUCACCCGCCUGCCAACCCCAAUCAAACUCCGAAUGCCGUCAGAUGUUCGCCGGGAGUCAGGCACGGUGAGAUAAGUUUCCGUGUCGCGAGGGAAACAGCCCAGACCGCCGUCUAAGGCCCCCAAGUUAUACGCUGAGUGGAAAAGGAUGUGGAGGUCCCCAGACAGCCGGGAGGUUGGCUUAGAAGCAGCCACUCCUUGAAAGAGUGCGUAACAGCUCACCGGUCGAGGGCUUCCGCGCCGAAAAUGUAACGGGGCUAAGCGUAUCGCCGAAGACGCGGGUUCAUUACAGAUUCGUUCUGUUUUGGGCGGUAGGGGAGCGUUGUGUGAGGGCAGAAUGCGUACCGCGAGGAGCGCAGGACUUCACAGAAGUGAGAAUGUCGGAACGAGUAGCGAUAAGACGGGCGAGAAACCCGUCCGCCGAAAACCCGAGGUUUCCCGGGGCAGGUUAAUCCUCCCGGGGUCAGUCGGUCCUAAGCCGAGGCCGAAAGGCGCAGGCGACAGGGCAACAGGCGAACAUUCCUGUACCGUUGAUAGUCCGUAUGGCAAACGGAGUGACGCGGAAGGUCAGGCCGGCGGGGGUAUGGAACCCCGCGUCUUGAGACGAGCGAGGAGAGACAGGCAAAUCCGUCUUUCCGCUUGAUGCGAGUCUUGAGAGCAAAACCGAAAAGAGUAGGUUGAGCCGAGCUAAUAUCACGCCGCCGAGAAAAGCUUCUAUGCCGGACGUCAGCGACCGUACCGCAAACCGACACAGGUGGGUAGGGAGAGAAUCCUAAGGCGCUCGAAAGAACCCGUGUUAAGGAACUCGGCAAAUUGACUCCGUAACUUUGGAAGAAGGAGUGCCCGCACGCCUUGACGGCGAGCUUCUUGUGCAAAUGAGAAGCGCCGGAGGGGAAGCGGGCCGCAGAAACCAGGUCCGGGCGACUGUCUAUCAAAAACACAGGACUCUGCUAAGGCGCGAGCCGACGUAUAGGGUCUGAUGCCUGCCCAAUGCCGGAAGGUUACGGGGAGGAGUCAGGGAGCUGUAAGGCUUCCGAAGCUCUGAACUUAAGCCCCGGUGAAUGGCGGCCGUAACUAUAACGGUCCUAAGGUAGCGAAAUCCCUUGUCAGGUAAGUUCUGACCCGCAUGAAUGGCGUAACGGUCCGGACACUGUCUCAACACGGGAUUCGGCGAAACUGUGCAACGGGUGAAGACGCCCGUUAUCCGCAUCAGGACAAGAAGACCCCGUGGAGCUUUACUGUAGCUUGAUAUUGGAUUUUGGUCUGUCAUGUAGAGAAUAGGCGGGAGACAUUGAACGCGGGGCGUCAGCUUCGCCGGAGUCGCCUGUGGAAUACCGCCCUUGGCAGCCCGGACUUCUAACCUGGAUUCCCGCAGCAACGGGAUCGGGGACAGUUUCAGGCGGGCAGUUUGACUGGGGCGGUCGCCUCCCAAACAGUAACGGAGGCGUUCAAAGGUUCCCUCAGCGUGAUUGGAAACCACGCGGAGAGCGCAAAGGCAAAAGGGAGCUUGACUGCGAGGCAAACGAGCCGAGCAGGGACGAAAGUCGGACUUAGUGAUCCGGUGGCGCCGGAAGGAAGGGCCAUCGCUCAACGGAUAAAAGCUACCCCGGGGAUAACAGGCUUAUCU
This 2618-nucleotide ribosomal RNA is filed under the name biogas fermenter metagenome. Its description in RNAcentral is "bacterial LSU rRNA". It matches the Rfam family "Bacterial large subunit ribosomal RNA", at positions 1 to 2488 of the family's 2925-position model. The record is from RNAcentral.